GGGAUAAGCGGAAGAAAUCCCGUCUAAUACCGCGUAAUAACUCCGAGAGGCAUCUCCUGGGGUUUAAAGGGUAACACCGGCUACGGAUGGCCAUGCGGCGCAUUAGCUAGUUGGCGGGGUAACGGCCCACCAAGGCGACGAUGCGUAGGGGUUCUGAGAGGAAGGUCCCCCACACUGGUACUGAGACACGGACCAGACUCCUACGGGAGGCAGCAGUGAGGAAUAUUGGUCAAUGGGCGCGAGCCUGAACCAGCCAAGUCGCGUGAGGGAAGACGGUCCUAUGGAUUGUAAACCUCUUUUGUCGGGGAGCAAAAGACGCCACGCGUGGCGUUCCGAGAGUACCCGAAGAAAAAGCAUCGGCUAACUCCGUGCCAGCAGCCGCGGUAAUACGGAGGAUGCGAGCGUUAUCCGGAUUUAUUGGGUUUAAAGGGUGCGCAGGCGGAAGAUCAAGUCAGCGGUAAAAUUGAGAGGCUCAACCUCUUCGAGCCGUUGAAACUGGUUUUCUUGAGUGAGCGAGAAGUAUGCGGAAUGCGUGGUGUAGCGGUGAAAUGCAUAGAUAUCACGCAGAACUCCGAUUGCGAAGGCAGCAUACCGGCGCUCAACUGACGCUCAUGCACGAAAGUGUGGGUAUCGAACAGGAUUAGAUACCCUGGUAGUCCACACAGUAAAC
RNAcentral lists this ribosomal RNA (670 nucleotides) under uncultured bacterium. RNAcentral's name for it is "bacterial SSU rRNA". It matches the Rfam family "Bacterial small subunit ribosomal RNA", at positions 140 to 807 of the family's 1533-position model. The record is from RNAcentral.